RNAcentral lists this ribosomal RNA (441 nucleotides) under uncultured bacterium. RNAcentral describes it as "partial 16S ribosomal RNA". It matches the Rfam family "Bacterial small subunit ribosomal RNA", at positions 338 to 795 of the family's 1533-position model. The record is from RNAcentral.
CCUACGGGUGGCAGCAGUGGGGAAUAUUGCACAAUGGGGGAAACCCUGAUGCAGCGACGCCGCGUGAGUGAAGAAGUAAUUCGUUAUGUAAAGCUCUAUCAGCAGGGAAUAAAAAAGAAGGUACCUGAAAAAGAAGCCCCGGCUAACUACGUGCCAGCAGCCGCGGUAAUACUUAGGGGGCAAGCGUUAUCCGGAUUUACUGGGUGGAAAGGGAGCGUAAACGGAAAGGCAAGUCAGAAGUGAAAGCCCAAGGCUCAAACAUGGGACUGCUUUUGAAACUGUCAAACGAGAGUACGGGAGAGGUAAGAGGAAUUCCUAGGGUAGCGGUGAAAUGCGUAGAUAUUAGGAGGAACACCAGUGGCGAAGGCGUCUUACUGGACCGAAACUGACGUUGAGGCUCGAAAGCGUGGGGAGCAAACAGGAGUAGAUACCCUAGUAGUC